This 521-nucleotide ribosomal RNA is filed under the name uncultured bacterium. RNAcentral's name for it is "bacterial SSU rRNA". It matches the Rfam family "Bacterial small subunit ribosomal RNA", at positions 28 to 528 of the family's 1533-position model. The record is from RNAcentral.
GACGAACGCUGGCGGCGUGCCUAACACAUGCAAGUCGAACGGAGAUUAUUGAUGAAGCUUGCGAUUUAAUAAUCUUAGUGGCGGACGGGUGAGUAACGCGUGGGUAACCUGCCCAUAAGAGGGGGAUAACAGCUGGAAACGGCUGCUAAUACCGCAUACGCUUUCCGGGACACAAGUGCCGGAAAGGAAAGAUGGCCUCUACAUGUAAGCUAUCACUUAUGGAUGGACCCGCGUCUGAUUAGCUAGUUGGUGGGGUAGAAGCCUACCAAGGCGACGAUCAGUAGCCGGCCUGAGAGGGUGGACGGCCACACUGGGACUGAGACACGGCCCAGACUCCUACGGGAGGCAGCAGUGGGGGAUAUUGGGCAAUGGGGGAAACCCUGACCCAGCAACGCCGCGUGAAGGACGAAGGCCUUCGGGUUGGUUAAACGUUACUUUGUAUCAGGGACGAAACGAAAUAGACGGUACCUCGUAGGAACAAGACCACGGCUAACUACGUGCCACGCAGCCGCGGAGUACGU